This 468-nucleotide ribosomal RNA is filed under the name uncultured bacterium. RNAcentral describes it as "partial 16S ribosomal RNA". It matches the Rfam family "Bacterial small subunit ribosomal RNA", at positions 28 to 507 of the family's 1533-position model. The record is from RNAcentral.
GACGAACGCUGGCGGCGUGCUUAACACAUGCAAGUCGAACGGAAAGGCCCUGCAUUUGUGGGGUGCUCGAGUGGCGAACGGGUGAGUAACACGUGAGUAACCUGCCCUUGACUUUGGGAUAACUUCAGGAAACUGGGGCUAAUACCGGAUAGGAGCUCCUGCUGCAUGGUGGGGGUUGGAAAGUUUCGGCGGUUGGGGAUGGACUCGCGGCUUAUCAGCUUGUUGGUGGGGUAGUGGAUUACCAAGGCUUUGACGGGUAGCCGGCCUGAGAGGGUGACCGGCCACAUUGGGACUGAGAUACGGCCCAGACUCCUACGGGAGGCAGCAGUGGGGAAUAUUGCACAAUGGGCGGAAGCCGGAUGCAGCAACGCCGCGUGCGGGAUGACGGCCUUCGGGUUGUAAACCGCUUUCGCCUGUGACGAAGCGUGAGUGACGGUAAUGGGUAAAGAAGCACCGGCUAACUACGUG